This 668-nucleotide ribosomal RNA is filed under the name Carphodorus sp. WY-2012. RNAcentral describes it as "eukaryotic LSU rRNA". It matches the Rfam family "Eukaryotic large subunit ribosomal RNA", at positions 411 to 913 of the family's 3401-position model. The record is from RNAcentral. Lineage: Eukaryota; Metazoa; Nematoda; Chromadorea; Rhabditida; Belonolaimidae.
AGGUGGAAACGGACAGAGCUGGCGUAUCUGGCCUGUAUUCAGCCAAGUUGCCUUUGACUUCAGGUGAUUGCUUUCCAGACUGGGACAGUUGCUUGUUUGUUGGUGGUCGAUUGGUGCAUUUGCAGGUGGAGUGCGCUGAGGAGUUUGGUGCAGCGGCAUGAACUUUAUUCUGAGGCCAUCCCGUUCACGCGGUGUUGGUACCCGUUUGGAGGUAGUGCUGUUUGUGCUAAGCGUUGUUGAGCAUAGGUCUCGGGCUCAGCUGGGUGCAAAGCUGGCAGUUGGUUACGGUCGCAUGCGACACGUGCCAGCGGUUGGUUUGGUCUUAGUUGAGUUCACUUGUGUUUGCCCUCGGUGUAAAAGCCGGUCAUCUGUCCGACCCGUCUUGAAACACGGACCAAGGAGUUUAGCGUGUGCGCGAGUCAUUGAGUGUUUAAAACUUAAGGGCGUAAUGAAAGUGAAGGCUUCCUCGUGGAGCUGAUGUGCGAUCCGGUGUACUUCGGUACAUCGGCGCAGCAUGGUCCCGUCCCGAUCGCUUGCGAUGGGGCGGAGAUAGAGCGUACGCGCUGAGACCCGAAAGAUGGUGAACUAUUCCUGAGCAGGAUGAAGCCAGAGGAAACUCUGGUGGAAGUCCGAAGCGAUUCUGACGUGCAAAUCGAUCGUCUGACUUG